CUCCGUAGGGGGAACCUGCGGAGGGAUCAUUACACAAAUAUGAAGGCGGGCUGGAACCUCUCGGGGUUACAGCCUUGCUGAAUUAUUCACCCUUGUCUUUUGCGUACUUCUUGUUUCCUUGGUGGGUUCGCCCACCACUAGGACAAACAUAAACCUUUUGUAAUUGCAAUCAGCGUCAGUAACAAAUUAAUAAUUACAACUUUCAACAACGGAUCUCUUGGUUCUGGCAUCGAUGAAGAACGCAGCGAAAUGCGAUAAGUAGUGUGAAUUGCAGAAUUCAGUGAAUCAUCGAAUCUUUGAACGCACAUUGCGCCCUUUGGUAUUCCAAAGGGCAUGCCUGUUCGAGCGUCAUUUGUACCCUCAAGCUUUGCUUGGUGUUGGGCGUCUUGUCUCUAGCUUUGCUGGAGACUCGCCUUAAAGUAAUUGGCAGCCGGCCUACUGGUUUCGGAGCGCAGCACAAGUCGCACUCUCUAUCAGCAAAGGUCUAGCAUCCAUUAAGCCNUUUUUUCAACUUUUGACCUCGGAUCAGGUAGGGAUACCCGCUGAACUUAAGCAUAUCAUAAGCCGGAGGAACC
Molecule: ribosomal RNA, 575 nt
Filed under: Alternaria brassicae
Lineage: Eukaryota; Fungi; Ascomycota; Dothideomycetes; Pleosporales; Pleosporaceae
Description: eukaryotic LSU rRNA
Rfam family: 5.8S ribosomal RNA (bases 198-351)
Source: RNAcentral